UGAGGAAUCUUGCGCAAUGGGGGAAACCCUGACGCAGCAACGCCGCGUGAGGGAAGACGGUUUUCGGAUUGUAAACCUCUGUCUUCGGUGAAGAAACAAAUGACGGUAGCCGAGGAGGAAGCCACGGCUAACUACGUGCCAGCAGCCGCGGUAAUACGUAGGUGGCGAGCGUUGUCCGGAAUUACUGGGUGUAAAGGGAGCGCAGGCGGGGAAACAAGUCAGCUGUGAAAACUAUGGGCUUAACCCAUAAACUGCAGUUGAAACUGUUUUUCUUGAGUGGAGUAGAGGUAGGCGGAAUUCCGAGUGUAGCGGUGAAAUGCGUAGAUAUUCGGAGGAACACCAGUGGCGAAGGCGGCCUACUGGGCUCUAACUGACGCUGAGGCUCGAAAGUGUGGGGAGCAAACA
Molecule: ribosomal RNA, 405 nt
Filed under: uncultured prokaryote
Description: bacterial SSU rRNA
Rfam family: Bacterial small subunit ribosomal RNA
Source: RNAcentral